RNAcentral lists this transfer RNA (75 nucleotides) under Methanobacteriota archaeon. Its description in RNAcentral is "Euryarchaeota archaeon (groundwater metagenome) tRNA-Lys". It matches the Rfam family "tRNA". From Rfam's summary of the family: Transfer RNA (tRNA) molecules are approximately 80 nucleotides in length. RNAcentral also lists the same sequence under 1 other name. The record is from RNAcentral. Lineage: Archaea; Methanobacteriati; Methanobacteriota.
GGGCCCGUAACUCAGUCUGGCUAGAGUGGCUGGCUCUUAACCAGUUAGUCGCGGGUUCAAAUCCCGUCGGGCCCG